ACUCCCUCCCUUGCAGCCGUUGCCUCCUCACCUUCGUCUUUAGCGCCGGGCGCCGGCGCUGGCGGACGGAAGACCGCAGGAGCGUGUGCGGAGGCUGGAGGACCAUGGUGGCGCAGCGGAGGUACGGCGGCGGAGGAGCGUCGUGGCCUAGAGGUUGAUUCGGGCCGCAGCCAGCAGGGCCGCCGUCCUCCAUUCAGGCCUAUUUCCAUGGAAACCGGGUUGCUUCGUGUCCCUGUCAGUUUCCCCUUCUGCUUUCUAACGCUUGCACUUCCUCCGUCGCCGGUCGUCGUGGCUACUCUGGUAAGCCAUCUCUCUCCCCCUCUGUAAUUUUUCCCCAAGCCGAUUUGAUUCCUAAUCUUGGGUUUCGAACAUGGAAAUUGCUAUGGCUUUGGUGGCGUCACCGUGGAUCCUCCGCACCAUCCAUUGUCUCCCAGCUUGCAGAGAAUAGGCCCUGAGCAAUGUGAAUCUGUAUAUUUACAAACGUCAAGAUACUAGAAAACAAAAUCCAGUUUGAUUGACUUCACGUGUUAGUGAACAGCCGUGAUUCUCGUGCUGUGGCAAACCCCCCUGAGAUUGCUGGUCCAUAAGGUAUAAAUCCAUCUUUUGCUUCGAGCAUAACAGUUGAUGUAUGCAGCUAUAGAGGUUUCUCGAUGCUCUGCAAAUUUUCCUUCCAGUUCAGUCAUUCGCCAAUUGAGGUCAAACCUGCAACUGCCUUUAGUUUUUAUUCCCCUUAUUUUCAUACUGGAUAUCCUCAUUGUCCGUGUCAAUCUAGGUGACAUGUCUAUUUUGAAACCAAGCUACACAUAAUUUUGAAUAUGCAGGUUGUUUUCCAAUGCUCUACAAAUUUUCCUUCCAAGUUAGUCAUCUGCCAUUGAGGUCACCCCUGCAGCUAUCUUUAGUUUUUAUUUCCAUCAUUUUUCAUACUGCAUUCUGUAUGCUCAUUGUCGAUGUCAAUGCAGGUGAUAUGUAUAUUCUAAAGUCAGGACUAAUUCAGCUACACAUAAUUUUGGAUAUGCAUGUCUUAUCACAUUAUAUACUCCUUGCUCAACCUUUUGAUGGAUCUAAUUUAGUAAUUUUAUGACUUGCAACAUAUAUCUUAACGAAAUGAAAGAAUUGUGAUUAGUGUAUGAUUUGCUAAAAUGUGCCUCCUUUUGUGAUGUACAAGUGCCAAAUUGGCACUUCUAUUGUUGUAUUAAAAUUUGCAUUAGCAAUCAAGAAGUUAGUAGAGGUUCAUUUUGCUUGCCAUCACUUACUCAAAUUAGUUCUAUUGGUCAUUAGGUACAUUUCUUUGUAAAACCUACAUCCUGUAGCGUGUACUCAUGCAAAUUAUAAUUAUUAAAUGAAGCAUAUAUUCUCUUUAAAAAAUGUGUAAUGGGUUACACUUUGCUUUACUAUUCUCUAUUUUUCAUCUCAAGAGCAGUUCAUUUCGGACCUGAGCGUCAUAACCAGAUCACUUGAUAAUCUUACUAUUUUUAGUUGUUUAAUGGAUGAUGGUGUUGCCAAAAUCUACAUUCUCUGGAUUUGCUAUGCUUGAUUGCUUGCAGGAAAGGUACAAUUACAUUGGUCAACCAUGAUUUGAACUACUACGCAACGGCGGUGUUUAGCAUUAGCAUUUCAUAUUGACGUGUAUGAUUGUAAAACAAACGGCUAUUUUCACACUAGCCUGGAAUGUCUAGGUCCUUUUUAGCACUGAAUUUUUUUCCUUUUUCAUUUCUUACACUGUACUGACAGGGUUAUAACUUAUAUGAAUUUAUGGAAUGUGCCACCAUUGUUUUGUUAUUUU
Molecule: long non-coding RNA, 1783 nt
Organism: Setaria italica (foxtail millet)
Lineage: Eukaryota; Viridiplantae; Streptophyta; Magnoliopsida; Poales; Poaceae
Exons: 2
Source: RefSeq, a predicted model, not a curated record